GGGAAACAGCCGUGGCAAGAGAGGAAAUGAAAGUAGUAGGGUUAGGAUGAUGUAAAAUGAGGAGAGAACACGAAAGCAAAGCAAAGUCGCGUGAGGCCGAGCGCUUCCCUUCCCUCGUGAGAAAAGGGGUGGCGUGGUAUUUCACGGAGAGAGGCUCUUUGCAGGAUCGUGGCGCGUGAUAGUGCGACGGGCGCACAUUAACCGAGCUUGGGGCUUCCAUGGCCGCUUCACUGCUCUAGUCUUUGCAGCCAAAGCGAGGG
Molecule: unclassified non-coding RNA, 260 nt
Filed under: Hevea brasiliensis (rubber tree)
Lineage: Eukaryota; Viridiplantae; Streptophyta; Magnoliopsida; Malpighiales; Euphorbiaceae
Source: RNAcentral